This 497-nucleotide ribosomal RNA is filed under the name uncultured bacterium. RNAcentral's name for it is "partial 16S ribosomal RNA". It matches the Rfam family "Bacterial small subunit ribosomal RNA", at positions 28 to 507 of the family's 1533-position model. The record is from RNAcentral.
GAUGAACGCUGGCGGCGUGCCUAAUACAUGCAAGUCGAGCGAACGGACGAGAAGCUUGCUUCUCUUAUGUUAGCGGCGGACGGGUGAGUAACACGUGGAUAACCUACCUAUAAGACUGGGAUAACUUCGGGAAACCGGAGCUAAUACCGGAUAAUAUUUUGAACCGCAUGGUUCAACAGUGAAAGACGUUCUUGCUGUCACUUAUAGAUGGAUCCGCGCUGCAUUAGCUAGUUGGUAAGGUAACGGCUUACCAAGGCAACGAUGCAUAGCCGACCUGAGAGGGUGAUCGGCCACACUGGAACUGAGACACGGUCCAGACUCCUACGGGAGGCAGCAGUAGGGAAUCUUCCGCAAUGGGCGAAAGCCUGACGGAGCAACGCCGCGUGAGUGAUGAAGGUCUUCGGAUCGUAAAACUCUGUUAUUAGGGAAGAACAGAUGUGUAAGUAACUGUGCACAUCUUGACGGUACCUAAUCAGAAAGCCACGGCUAACUACGUG